UACGUAGGGGGCUAGCGUUGUCCGGAAUCAUUGGGCGUAAAGCGCGUGUAGGCGGCCCGGUAAGUCCGCUGUGAAAGUCGGGGGCUCAACCCUCGAAAGCCGGUGGAUACUGUCGGGCUAGAGUACGGAAGAGGCGAGUGGAAUUCCUGGUGUAGCGGUGAAAUGCGCAGAUAUCAGGAGGAACACCAAUUGCGAAGGCAGCUCGCUGGGACGUUACUGACGCUGAGACGCGAAAGCGUGGGGAGCAAACAGG
This 253-nucleotide ribosomal RNA is filed under the name uncultured bacterium. RNAcentral's name for it is "partial 16S ribosomal RNA". It matches the Rfam family "Bacterial small subunit ribosomal RNA", at positions 524 to 776 of the family's 1533-position model. The record is from RNAcentral.